UUGGUUAAGUUAGAAAGGGCGCACGGUGGAUGCCUUGGCACUAGGAGCCGAAGAAGGACGGGACUAACACCGAUAUGCUUUGGGGAGCUGUACGUAAGCGUUGAUCCAGAGAUUUCCGAAUGGGGGAACCCACUAUCUUUAGUCGGAUAGUAUCCUUACGUGAAUACAUAGCGUGAGGAAGGCAGACCCAGGGAACUGAAACAUCUAAGUACCUGGAGGAAGAGAAAGAAAAAUCGAUUUCCUGAGUAGCGGCGAGCGAAACGGAAAGAGCCCAAACCAAGAAGCUUGCUUCUUGGGGUUGUAGGACACUCUAUACGGAGUUACAAAAGAAAGUUAUAAAUGAAGCGGUCUGGAAAGGCCCGCCAAAGACGGUAACAGCCCGGUAGUUGAAAUGGCUUUCCCUCCAGAGUGGAUCCUGAGUACGGCGGAACACGUGAAAUUCCGUCGGAAUCCGGGAGGACCAUCUCCCAAGGCUAAAUACUCCCUAGUGACCGAUAGUGAACCAGUACCGUGAGGGAAAGGUGAAAAGCACCCCGGAAGGGGAGUGAAACAGUUCCUGAAACCGUGUGCCUACAAGUAGUUAGAGCCCGUUAAUGGGUGAUAGCGUGCCUUUUGUAGAAUGAACCGGCGAGUUACGAUUUGUUGCAAGGUUAAGCGGAAAAAGCGGAGCCGUAGCGAAAGCGAGUCUGAAUAGGGCGCAUAAGUAACAGGUCGUAGACCCGAAACCAGGUGAUCUACCCAUGUCCAGGAUGAAGGUAAGGUAAUACUUACUGGAGGUCCGAACCCACGCACGUUGAAAAGUGCGGGGAUGAGGUGUGGGUAGCGGAGAAAUUCCAAUCGAACUUGGAGAUAGCUGGUUCUCUCCGAAAUAGCUUUAGGGCUAGCCUCGAGGUAAAGAGUCAUGGAGGUAGAGCACUGUUUGGACUAGGGGCCCUUCUCGGGUUACCGAAUUCAGAUAAACUCCGAAUGCCAUGUACUUAUACUCGGGAGUCAGACUGCGAGUGAUAAGAUCCGUAGUCGAAAGGGAAACAGCCCAGACCACCAGUUAAGGUCCCCAAAUAUAUGUUAAGUGGAAAAGGAUGUGGGGUUGCUUAGACAACCAGGAUGUUGGCUUAGAAGCAGCCACCAUUGAAAGAGUGCGUAAUAGCUCACUGGUCGAGUGACCCCGCGCCGAAAAUGUACCGGGGCUAAACAUAUUACCGAAACUGUGGAUGAACCUCUUUAGAGGUUCGUGGUAGGAGAGCGUUCUAAGGGCGGUGAAGUCAGACCGGAAGGACUGGUGGAGCGCUUAGAAGUGAGAAUGCCGGUAUGAGUAGCGAAAGAAGGGUGAGAAUCCCUUCCACCGAAUAUCUAAGGUUUCCUGAGGAAGGCUCGUCCGCUCAGGGUUAGUCGGGACCUAAGCCGAGGCCGAUAGGCGUAGGCGAUGGACAACAGGUAGAGAUUCCUGUACCAGUGCUAAUUGUUUAACCGAUGGGGUGACACAGAAGGAUAGGGAAUCGCACGAAUGGAAAUGUGCGUCCAAGCAGUGAGUGUGAGAAGUAGGCAAAUCCGCUUCUCGCGAAGCAUGAGCUGUGAUGGGGAAGGAAAUUAAGUACGGAAGUUCCUGAUUUCACGCUGUCAAGAAAAGCCUCUAGGAAGAGUAGUACUGCCCGUACCGCAAACCGACACAGGUAGAUGAGGAGAGAAUCCUAAGGUGAGCGAGAGAACUCUCGUUAAGGAACUCGGCAA
RNAcentral lists this ribosomal RNA (1728 nucleotides) under Listeria monocytogenes. RNAcentral's name for it is "partial 23S ribosomal RNA". It matches the Rfam family "Bacterial large subunit ribosomal RNA", at positions 1 to 1720 of the family's 2925-position model. The record is from RNAcentral. Lineage: Bacteria; Bacillati; Bacillota; Bacilli; Caryophanales; Listeriaceae.